CGGGGGACGGAGCGUGAGACGGGCCCUCGGAUUGGAUGCCGCAGCCGCGGUCGAUGUAACUCCCUUUCCGAUUGGUUGGAUUCAGUCCAUACCUUUUUAUUAGGAGCCUCUGGCCCAACAUUGACCAAGAAGCAUUGACCUCAAGACAGCUUGGAGCCAGGCAAGGCCGCAGCGGACCCUUCUCAUGGAUCGCUCAGCGUCAGAAGUCAGUGGCCGUGUCAUAAGGACACUCAUGCAGCUCCGUGAAUGGCACUUCCUGGGAAGGAGCUGAGGUCUCCUGCCAACAGCCAGACGAGGGAGCCGUCUUGGAAGCAGCUUCUGCAGUCUGAGAGGAGCCUUGUGGUGCCUCCAGCUCUGCCUUAUGUAACUGCAGCCUCACGGGGGAGCCUGAGCCAGUAUUCCAUGGCAUCGAAACAGUGGCCAGCACUGCACAGGACUGGCUUCCCAGGUGGCACAGUGAAUCUCUUCAUUAUGAGCUCUCAAACCAAUGCAGCUUAGUUGUGGGAGAAGGAUUGGAAACUAACACUGAACACGGUGUCCAAUCUGCCAGGCUUUGAGGCUUCACACAUACUUUUUUCAUUUAAACUUUCCACCAACACUUUGAAGAAGAUGUUAUUUCCGUUUUUACAAAUAAGGAAAUCAAGCCCCAGGAAAGCAUGAACUACACUUAUAAUGAAAAGAAAUCUCCUUAAUAUAAAAACACAGACAUUUUUGAUGCCACAGCAGGAAGCUAAGAAGCUGAAAAUGGCAGCUGUGUACUUAUUUCCAGUUUGGUUAAGGUGACUCAGUUCUACAAUGUUUGAAAAGCCCUGUGUAAACUUACCAAAUUGAGUCUUUGUACUUGCAACGCAGACGACUAGACGCUGGCCCCACAGUUAUCUAAGACAAUGAAUGGGCAGGGCUGCUGUAGUCCCAGUUGGAUCCUUUCUGUGGAGUAGCUAAUUUGUAUAUUUCCUCAGUUGUGUGUGCACAUCCGAUCAUGUCUUAUGUAUAUUUAUAUCCUAUAUCUGGUGGAAUGAAUAGCAUUUUGCCCCGUGGAGGCACCAUAUGUGUAAAGCAUGGGGCGGGAAAUGGGAUGGUGUAUUCAGGGAAGAGCCACGUUUCUCCUGCAGAGCAUGACUUUCAGGGGGGUUGCUGAGGGAGACGCUGGCUGGACAGACGGACUUGGUUCCAUUUGUGAAAAAUCUUGGAACAGACAUCUUCCUGUAUGUGUUUUCAUCGAAGAUUUCCAAACAUGGGGUGAUAUAAGCAAACUUGUGUUUCAGAAAGCACACAGGUUCUUUCUUAGAACUUCUCGAGAAAAUGAAUGUAUGUCUCGUUUCUUUCCCUAGGUUAUAUGUCACAGUCAUACGGGGCACUCAGAAUACUUCCUAAUUGAUUAAUUGGCCGAGGGACUCUUUCUUUUACAAGCAAACAAGCCAACUUGUUGUAUACAAAGUGCUAUGGGAGACGCAGCUUCUUCCUGCAGGAGUUUACAACAUAGUAAUGAGAUAACACAGGAAGAAAAUGGGCCAGGAGUAAAAUGGCUUGAAUUCUACAUUCAUCUUCUCCAUUUUAGUUGUUUAUAAAACAAAUAUUUAAUAAGCACCUAUUAUGUGUCAGAUCUCUGUUAGACUUUAGGUAUGCAUUGAUGGGAAAAAUAGUCAUGGGCUUUGCAUGUCCAGUGGAGGACAAAGAUACCAAACAAUCACAAAAAUGGAUUCAACAAAUAGUGUAUUGAAUAAUAUGUGCCAGGCACUACUCUAGGUGCUUGAAACCAUAAUGAAAAGGCAGACAGAGAUCUGUGCCCAUACAGGACUUAUACUCCACUGGUAGAAGACAGAAAACAAACUCAAGACAUAUAAUAAAUAAGUAAUGUAUAUAUCUUAUUAGAAGGUGAUACAUACUAUCGAAAAAAUAAAUAGAAAGCCAGGUAAAGGCUUUUAGUAAUGGGGAGAGGGCAGAGAUAGGAGUUGGGAUAGGACAUCAUUUUACACAAGACAGUUGGAGUGGCCUCAUUGAGAAAGGGAUGUAUGAGCAGGAACUUAGAAGAGUUUGGAGAGUUGAUGAUGCAGAUAUCCAAGGGGAAUGCAUUCCAGGCAGGGGGAACAGCCCGUGUAAAGAUCCAGAGUGUUCCAGGCACAGUAACAAGGCCACAUCCUCUGCAGCAGCAUAAGCCAGGGGGAGAAAAGUGGGCAUAGGAAAGCUGGUGUAGAUUUUCCUGGGCUUUGUCGGUCACUACAGGGAUUCCCAGGUGACUUAGUGGUAAAGAACCCACCUGCCAAUGCAGGAGGCA
Molecule: non-coding RNA, 2275 nt
Organism: Odocoileus virginianus texanus
Lineage: Eukaryota; Metazoa; Chordata; Mammalia; Artiodactyla; Cervidae
Source: RefSeq, a predicted model, not a curated record